CCAUGUUCAAUGUGUCGUUAUCUCCAUGUUGAUUUGACACUAAAAUCUUUAUGUCUCAACCAUUCACCAAAGUCUGUCUAUUUUAUUAUUACCUUCUAGAGUCAACAUUCGUCCACAAUAUAUUUUGCUAUAUCUACAAGAUCAUUUUGUAACUAGGUUAGUAAUACAAGACUCAUGGAUCGUUUCAUCAAUUUUACAUUAUAUAUUAAGGAAAUAUCUAGAAUUUAAGACGUAUGCGCCUAGUUGGGAAAGGAGAGGACAGAACAUGUAGCUCAGGGGGACAGGGGCAUGCUGGACAAAUCCCAAUGCCAGACCCCAGCCUCGCGCCACAAGGUGCUGUAUUGGUCUGAAAUAUACUGCAUGUAAGCUGUUGUUGUGUUGAUUGUUUAUUUUCCAUCUUGCUUGUCUCUUUUGUUAAACAGUAUUAUAGUUCUGAACUAUAAGUCUUGUCUCAUUUCAUCUGAUGCUUGUCUUCUAAGUCUUUUGAUUCUCAUAUGUGAAACUUGUUAUUUGUCUAAGAUAACUAUGCCUUUAGCCUUCCUUGGUAAUGUUGCAAAUGAAUCAUAGCAUUUUGUCCCUGCAAAACUAAAACACCAGUUAGCUAAAAAAUCUGCAGCGUUGUUGCCUUCUCUGUGUGUGAGCUGAAGCUAUAUGAGACCUCCUUCAAUCAGCUCUCUUAUCUUCCUUCAAAGUCGUAGCCUCAUCAAAUAGACUAGUAGAGUCUGCCAUCCUUCUACAUAGAGCAUAUUGAGUAUCCCCUUCAUCAUUUCUAAUACAAAAUGUUAUAGAACUUGGACCAAGGUUUCCUUUAGAAGCACCAUCUGAAUUACAUUUAAACCAACCUUGAUUAGGUA
RNAcentral lists this long non-coding RNA (854 nucleotides) under Solanum tuberosum (potato). RNAcentral's name for it is "long non-coding RNA (STUB_LNC008295)". The record is from RNAcentral. Lineage: Eukaryota; Viridiplantae; Streptophyta; Magnoliopsida; Solanales; Solanaceae.